RNAcentral lists this ribosomal RNA (280 nucleotides) under uncultured bacterium. RNAcentral describes it as "partial 16S ribosomal RNA". It matches the Rfam family "Bacterial small subunit ribosomal RNA", at positions 773 to 1060 of the family's 1533-position model. The record is from RNAcentral.
GUGGAUUAGAUACCCUGGUAGUCCACGCCGUAAACGAUGGAUACUAGCUGUUGGGCGCAAGUUCAGUGGCUAAGCGAAAGUGAUAAGUAUCCCACCUGGGGAGUACGAACGCAAGUUUGAAACUCAAAGGAAUUGACGGGGGCCCGCACAAGCGGUGGAGCAUGUGGUUUAAUUCGAUGAUACGCGAGGAACCUUACCAAGGCUUAAAUGUAGAUUGACCGGUUUGGAAACAGAUCUUUCGCAAGACAAUUUACAAGGUGCUGCACGGCCGUCGCCAACU